This 440-nucleotide ribosomal RNA is filed under the name uncultured bacterium. RNAcentral's name for it is "partial 16S ribosomal RNA". It matches the Rfam family "Bacterial small subunit ribosomal RNA", at positions 338 to 795 of the family's 1533-position model. The record is from RNAcentral.
CCUACGGGCGACUGCAGUGGGGCAUAUUGCACAAUGGGGGAAACCCUGAUGCAGCGACGCCGCGUGAGUGAAGAAGUAUUUCGGUACGUAAGGCUCUAUCAGCAGGGAAGAAAAUGACGGUACCUGAAUAAGAAGCCCCGGCUAACUACGUGCCAGCAGCCGCGGUAGUACGUAGGGGGCAAGCGUGAUCCGGCUUUACUGGGUGUAACGGGAGCGUAGACGGCAGCGCAAGUCUGGAGUGAAAUCCCAUGGCUUAACCAUGGAACUGCUGUGGAAACUGUGCAGCUAGAGUGCAGGAGAGGUAAGCGGAAUUCCUAGUGGAGCGGUGAAAUGCGUAGAUAUUAGGAGGAACACCAGUGGCGAAGGCGGCUUACUGGACUGUAACUGACGUUGAGGCUCGAAAGCGUGGGGAGCAAACAGGAUUAGAUACCCUAGUAGUC